This is a non-coding RNA of Picea glauca (white spruce), 118 nucleotides long. The record is from Rfam. Lineage: Eukaryota; Viridiplantae; Streptophyta; Pinopsida; Pinales; Pinaceae.
GUACAUGACUAUAGCGUUAAUGCACUGGAUCCCAUUAUAACUCCACAAUUAAUCAUGCUUGGAUAGAGUAAUACUAGGAUGGGUGGACACCCAUAGGGAAGUCCUAGUGUUUUAAAUG